RNAcentral lists this transfer RNA (79 nucleotides) under Candidatus Bathyarchaeota archaeon. RNAcentral's name for it is "tRNA-Arg". It matches the Rfam family "tRNA". From Rfam's summary of the family: Transfer RNA (tRNA) molecules are approximately 80 nucleotides in length. Their secondary structure includes four short double-helical elements and three loops (D, anti-codon, and T loops). Further hydrogen bonds mediate the characteristic L-shaped molecular structure. tRNAs have two regions of fundamental functional importance: the anti-codon, which is responsible for specific mRNA codon recognition, and the 3' end, to which the tRNAs corresponding amino acid is attached (by aminoacyl-tRNA synthetases). tRNAs cope with the degeneracy of the genetic code in two manners: having more than one tRNA (with a specific anti-codon) for a particular amino acid; and 'wobble' base-pairing, i.e. permitting non-standard base-pairing at the 3rd anti-codon position. The record is from RNAcentral. Lineage: Archaea; Thermoproteati; Candidatus Bathyarchaeota.
GGGCCCGUAGUCUAGCCCGGAUUAGGACGCUGGCCUGCGGAGCCGGAGAUCUGGGGUUCAAAUCCCCACGGGCCCGCCA